Molecule: long non-coding RNA, 504 nt
Organism: Calliphora vicina (urban bluebottle blowfly)
Lineage: Eukaryota; Metazoa; Arthropoda; Insecta; Diptera; Calliphoridae
Exons: 2
Source: RefSeq, a predicted model, not a curated record
GGCACACCACCAGAGCGUUACCAUACGUUUUGAAUAACAACAGAGGAAAAAACAAACCAUUAACGACUACAGCCACGAGUAAAGUGAUUUUCAUCCAAUAAUUUUUAAACAGUCAAACAUUCUGUGGAUGGUUGGAUGUUAAUGCUCAAAGUUUUUUUUUGUUUUGUGUGUGUUUUAUUUUUUUUGUUUGAAAAUGAGUGUAGAGUAUUGAAAGUAUACAAUUGUGCUGACUGACUGAAUGUGCUGAGCUGCUCAACAGCAAUGUAAACGUUACUUUAGCAGCAAAAACGUGACACAAACUUUGCCAAUGUUAAUAAAAAGAAAACAAAGCGAUAGAAGAAAUGGUAAAAAGUUGGAAAAACCGGAAGUCAGCAAAAUGGCAAAAGUAGAACCAAUGAAUCAACAGAAAAUACAUAUUAAACGUUUACUUUAUGGCCAUACAAACACAUUCAUACAUGCGGAAUGAAUGUAUUAUUAAUAUUUGCAGCAUAUUUUUAGGGGUAA